Molecule: long non-coding RNA, 4687 nt
Organism: Xiphophorus couchianus (Monterrey platyfish)
Lineage: Eukaryota; Metazoa; Chordata; Actinopteri; Cyprinodontiformes; Poeciliidae
Exons: 5
Source: RefSeq, a predicted model, not a curated record
UCACCUGUGUUGGGAAUUAAAAUGACAGAAUGGAGCAGCCAAAAAAUGUUGAAAUCAAAGACAGGGAGUGGAUGGAAGAAGGGAAAACAUAUUGGACAUUGGUGGGUAUGGAAAGGGAAAGAAAAAAGAACAAUUUGUCAACAUUUUGUGGAUUUUUGUACAGUAAAAAAAAGACUUGGGGUAGUGCGGUCAAAUAUUCACUUCCUUUCAGAUUUCUGUUUUUGCCUUGUCGUCACAUCUAAAUGUUUUAGAUUAUUAAACAAAUGUAGCAUCAGACAAAGAUAAUUUAAUUAUAAUUAUAUUUUCACACAGAGUCACGUUGGUUUGAAAAGUAUUGUCACUUAAUUCACCAAGUCAACAUUUGGAAACUGACUUUUGCAUUUACUCAUGCUACUUGUUUAACUUAAAUUUUUACUUGAUUAUAAAUAUUUAAGUGUGACAGACAAGCAAAAACAGAAAAUAUAUCUGCAAGAGGGAAAUACAAACCACUGUUACAGGAACAAAAGUGGGUGUUUCAAGAGCAACGAGAAUCCUGUGAAAGUUGUUUUCUACACAUUUUUUGAGCUGAUUCAUUACACGUCUCUCACACUAGAGGGGGACAUAUUUCUAUGGCCAGGAUGAAAACAGAAAGCACACAGACUAAAUAAGCCAACGGAAUUGACUUACUUCUCUACAGCAAGCAAGCAAAUGGACCUACUAAAAACCUUUUAUUUGUAAGUGGUCUUUUUCUGGCUUACAUGAUUGACUUUGGGGGAAAGGGCAUGCACUAAAAGUAUGCUUUCAUGAUACUGUAAGGCUCUUCAGAUGAAAGCAUUCCCUAAAUGGAAUGCAUAAUUGAAAACAUUUUAUUUUGGAAACAUCUAAACUACAAAGAUGAUGAUUUCAAGAGUAGGAAUAACAGAAGUUUCCUGGACAAGAGAUGAAAUCCAGUGAGAAAUUCCUACAAAACCUUAUCCUGGAAAGCCAAGCUUUCCUUUUUUUCUAAGUCCCUUGUGACCGCUAACAGUGCUCAUAGUGCCAAUACACUGCACCAGCUAAGACUACACACUUUCAGGUGGAGUUAAUCGUCCCUCUGCUCCAAAACUGAAGAGCAGUGACCGAUCACCAAAUGCCUCAAGAUUAGGUUCGAACUGAUCACUUGUGAGACCGGACAACAUGUAAAGCAGCUCUCACCCUCAGCUGGACCCACACAAAAGAUGAAGGACCCCCGCAAACGCUUAUGUGCAGAACCGUGACAGUCGCGCACACUCUGCCUUACACGAGACAGAAGCGCGCACACAUGCAGGGGGAAAUCAGAGGGGCUAUUCACUUUGCUGAAAAGACUCCUCAUUGAACUGUUCAAAGACCCAGGCAGGAAACAACCAGCACCAGUGUGUUCCACUGUGAACGUACAUGAGUGUGUGUGUUAGCAGUAUAGCAAUAGUUCUGAUGAAUGUGUGGGUGUGUGUAUGUGACUGUGUCCUCCACCGCUGCCUAACGAUUGUAAAUUGCGUGGCUGCAAUUUCCUGAGUGCUGUGCGCUCGCUUUGUCCUCUUAUGUGCAGAUGAAUAGGCAGCUCCUCCGCUGUGAUGAGAGCCUGUAACUGCAUCUCUUUCUGCUCAUGUGUUUCGGUGGAGAUUCAUUUACUAACAAGAAGUGCAUCCCUAUUGGGUUGCUGGUGUGAUGUGUCUGCCACAGUAAUAAUACUCCUUUAUCUAGUUAUUGUGGAUUUUUUUUUUAUUGUCUGUCACUGGACUAUUUUUCUGUCUUUCCACAGGUUUCUGCUUCCUGUUUUUUUUUUUCCUUUUUUUGGUACCCACUCUAAGAGAUGACUUGUAGUGUUGCUUGUCUCUGAUGGCCUCACAAUAUAAUCUGGACUGAGUGUGAUCCAUUCAUUUGGCCUCACAUGCCACAUUAUGCCUUUAUGUGUUAACUGAUCUGAUGGGAUCAGAUUUUAAUGUGCCAUAUUUAACCCAUUUAUCUACUUUUUGUCUGUCUGAUGAGUUGAUCCUGUCUCCUCUAAAUGUAUGUAUAAGCCACCUCAUUCGAUCGUGUGACCUGGUUGGCUUUGUGGCGCUUCGCUGACAGAAAAGAGGCCAUGGCCGGCGUUCAGAUGGCAGGCGGCCCUAAGAACUCUAGCUGGACUAGCUGGAUGCCCCACUGCUGGCCCAGCGGUAAACCCCUGUUUCAUCCUUUCCCUCCGAAAAAUCCUGCACACAGACGCAGGACGAGCAUCUGUGCUCGUUGCCCUACUUCACAAGUUUUCCCUUGCCUCCGCGACUCACAACUGAAAACACACACAAAAAUCCUUCAAAUAUUCUCUGUCACUGUACCAAUUGCAUGAUCAUAUCCUUCUUCCAUCUGACCCCAUAAGGAACCCAUUGGCAGCAGACAUGAAGAAUCCUGCCAUGUUCUCAGUAAAGCCUGAAUAAAUCUCUAAACCCCCCCAUAGCUCCUUUAAUUUACUGACUAAACACUGACACCGUUAUCUCCUUCUAUCCUGUGAAACAUCCUGAACAAUAUGGACUCAUUUACCCAAUGAUUACCAUCCCAUUGCUAAAUGCCAUCCAGAACAUAUUCUAAAAUAAUAAUGUUGUGCCUGUCAUUUUUCCAAAGUAUCGUUGGUACAGACGGCGUUUGAUUUGCAGUCCAUGAACAACUUCAUUGGGUUAAGGUUAGGAAUAAAUGGUACACUUUUUAUUUCAAUGCAUGUUUAGAGACACAGAGUUUAGCGGAAAAUUAGAUAAAUAAUUUUCCUUUGACUGAAAACUAAAUAAACUUCUGCAGAGUAAUUGCAAUGUGAUAUUCUGUAUGGAAUGUGGUAAGUAGGUUUAAUUAUUACAAAUACUUUUUCUUUGAACUACACCUAAAAAAUGGCCAUUACAUUUUCAUAUAAUUUUUCAGUUUGUCCCAUUACAAGAUUUCCAUUUAAAUAAGACUUUAUGUGCCAGACCAACACUGCACAAUGUUAAUACUGAGGUUUGCAAAAUUAGAAAUAUGAAAAUUGUGCAUAUAAUGCAUUUUAUAUUCAACAAUUAGAGUUGGAUGUUCUUUGGGUGUUUAUUUCUACCAUCUAAAGAAUAAAGUGUUUGCUGAUUCUACAAGAUAAAAUAGCUAAAACUCAGUUUGGUUAGAAGAGUACUUGUGAACAUUUUAAAGUCUUGCCUCGUAGUGAAUUUUAUUUGAGUCGAGACUUUGGUACACUUUGAAUAUUUUAUAUUCAAAGUGUAUAUUCUGAGUACACUAAAUGCUUCCAUUGUAGAUUUGGUUGUACUUCCACCACAAUCUCAAGUCUUUUGUAAUAUCCAACUGGUUUACUUAAAUGGUAUAAGCCCCAUUCAUCUUCCCAGCACAUCUGAUCAUCGUCUCUACAGAUCCCAAAAGCAUGAUACUGCCAUCACAAAUUGUAUUGAAAGGGUUGUGUGUCUCCCUUAAAACCUUCCCCCCUCAACUUUCACCCGUUCAAUAUGAAAGCAGCACAUAAGGUUCCAGGUCUCCUAUGACCAGAGUACCUCCUCCUUUAUGUUUGUGCUGUCACCAACAUGGCUCAUGGCAAACUCCAAAAUAGGACUUCUAAUGGCUUUCUUUCAACAAAAGCUUAUAUAAUGCCACUCUUAAAAAAGAAUGCAAAAUAUUAAAGACUAUCACCCAAAACAUACUACACAAAAAUUUUGCAUUGGAAAGGAAACUGUCAACAUAUGUGAGUUUCUGUUAAAGACGUUCCAAAUGUAAUUUUAUGCAACACUGGAGAUGAUCACACCACUUUCUCAAAAGGGCAAUGUAGACUAGAUACAUGUGCAGUAAGUUGUUUUUUUUAGUUUCCAUGACUACAGUAGUACACAGAAAGGGUAUUGUCCAGUUCUGUGCUUCCAGGCUCUCCAGAAUGUUAUAGGUGACAUUUGAGUUACUUGAAGAGGAAGUCCAGAGAAUUCCAGUCUGAACAAGGAGGCGAUGAACUGGAACUUGUGAGCUUGAUUGCUUUGAGGAGAGAGGAAUGGCUAGGAGAAAGCUCUGGUUGAAAGACACCCUUAUGAAACCUCAUUAAAUCAUAAGCAACAUAAGGUUCAGGUUAGCAUUGGACAGCGGGAUCACCAUCCAGAUUAUGUUGAGGUUGGUGAGGGCAGCGCUGGUGGUAAAGGAGCAGGGCAGGAUGGCCGUCUGGCCCCGAGCCACCUGGAUGCUGCUCUGGGACACGGUCACUUCCAGGGCCCGGACACACACUGCAGGAAUAAAUAGGAGGAUGUAAUGGCUGGCUGGAGCAUGUUCCAGUCAACUACUGGAUGACAUGGAACAACCCGGACAAGCUAAGAGCAUCUGAUGUACUGCCUGUUGAUCCCUGCUUGCCUGUCUGCCUGAAACCUCCAGGACUUCCUACGCUUUCAUUCUGUUGGCAGACAUCACAAGCCCUGCAGCUUCACUGAUGGGCCAAGGGGAGAUAGGCUGCUGGGCUCUGUUUUGGUUCAUGGGAGACAUGCUCAUGAAGAAGACUCCCUAUGAAUUAUGCAGCCAAUUUCACUUAGAGGCAUUAUAUUCCCCUGUAAUGCCAAUAUGUAUCAUUCAGCAGCCUGAUUCUCCUCUUUAGUUCAUUCGCACAACGUAUGACGUGAGACAUAAACUCCUCAGGUUGUCUGCAUCAUUACAUCACUAUUGAGGCCCCAUUACCUGUCGUGACAUGCACAACAGGAGGGCGUCAUUAUAAAUGCAAUAA